UUCGCUUGACUUAUUGCAUAAAUUAGCUAUUUGGAUUUGCUAGGAAUUUGUUUGAUUAGAGCUACACAGGUUUACAUUUUUGUGAAAUUUUGUUCUGUUUCGGCCGCAAUGUGUAUGCUUAGUGAGUUAGUGAACUAAUGGUGCCAUCAAUCCAAGGUCAUGAGACCAUUCCACUUUUAUUAAAUCUUAUGACUAAUUAAAUCAAUUAAACAGGUCACAUUACUAGCAUUAUAUAUGUCAUGUGACUAAAAGUAGACGUGGAUACUCAUUUGGAGGAAAGUUCUAUCUUUGUUUAAAAUUAACAAAAUGGUAGCUGAAUGUGGGGAGUUAGAAACAAUAAGAGGGGUCUUGGUUUCGAUUUAUUAAUUCACGACAUGGUUAUGAGGUUUUUAACCUAACAUGAUGAGCUCAAUAAAGAUUGAACCCCACCGACACAAAUAUGCUGAUUCCGAAUUCUAUAAGCUUGUACCAGUUCAUUUGGAAGUACAAUAUGGUUGGUGUUCAGUGUGGGGUAUGAUGAAGCCAAAGUUGCUGGAAUAGGAGUUUCCUUACCAUGUAGGGCGGGAACUUAGUUGGAUAUAUAUAUCAGAUGUCUUGUUUUCACCCUGUCAAUGGACAAGAUAGUGAUGCAUCUUAAGUUUUGGACCUAAACUGAUAGAAAGUAGAAUAUUGAUGAAAUUCGAAUAAAGUUGACUACCACAUGUCGUCUGCCCAAAGGAGAGGUCUGUGUAUUUGGCUGCACCAGUCGUGACACUGCCAUUCUUGUGGUCAUCUACUUCCGAAAUAGGCCCUACGAUGCAGUUACUUAAGUUUUCAUUCAAAAACUGUUUGCAGGGAAAUAUAACUUUAGGUGCUGAUAGGUCAUUGAAUGGACGAACUUCCUAAUAAUAGCACCUGUUUCAUCGCCCCAUUUUUAUUGACUUAUCUGUAUUAAUUAUUUACUACAUGAUUAUUUCCUAUGGCCUUAUCAGCAUGCAUCCCUACUAUGCAAUGAAAUCGCAAUUUUUGUGCAUGUCUGUGUGUAGAACAAAAUGAUAUAAAACUGUUAUCUGUUGAUUAGUAUAUGUACCAUUCAAUGCAUGGCUGCAAGCAAUUGUAUGAGGGGGACUUAACCAAAAGUGAAACUGCAGUUAAUGAGCACCAAUCACUUCCAUUAUUAGUUAUUCUGGACAACUUGUUAUAGUAGUAAAAAUGGCAGGAUUUAUGAAGGGCUAGUUGUGGGUUUGGGUUAGGAGUUGUUUAACAAGGGAUUAUAUUGAAGAGGAAAGGGUUGAUAACAUAGAGUAGCAUUAAAACAGAAUAAAGGUAAGGAGACAAAGAUGAGGUGCACUGGUCUCACUUGUGGAAUCUCACUCACCACAAGGAGUAUGGCACCUUGACACAAAUAGAUCCAGUAAUUUCUCAACAUUUCAUUCCCAAAAUCACAAGUUACGAUAGUAGAUAGGUUGGUAGAUAAAGUUUACUUAAAAGCACUUCAUGUAAAAGCGAGGUACACCAGAUUGCCUCAAGUAUGCUUAUUAUUUGUUUGUUGUUGACGAUUUCAGAGAUUGCAAAGCCAGUGUCUCUGCAAACAGCAAGUUCUAAAUACCCAUCAACGAUUGCAGUGUCUCUGCUAAAAAGGAGAAUUGUCUAGCAGUGAUGAGAAAAAAUAUAAAAUCCUGAAGCAGGCAACUGAAAGGGAGAUUUCUCAAAGUGCUGAUGUCAUCUGUUGCACAUGUGUCGGUGCUGUAGAUCCUCAAUCGGCAAAUUUUAGGUUCUGCCAGGUUGAAAUGCAUGUAACAUGUGGAAGUUUAUCCAAGAUUCACUUGUUUAAAAGUUUACUCUUUUUAACUUUUUGUUUUUUGUUUUGCUGCUAUUGGUAUAGUGCAUUUGGAUCAUUAAGUGGUUUUAUUUUUUUUUGGAUUUUUAUA
Molecule: long non-coding RNA, 1910 nt
Organism: Quercus robur (English oak)
Lineage: Eukaryota; Viridiplantae; Streptophyta; Magnoliopsida; Fagales; Fagaceae
Exons: 2
Source: RefSeq, a predicted model, not a curated record